CGAGCUGGGUUUAGAACGUCGUGAGACAGUUCGGUCCCUAUCUGCCGUGGGCGCAGGAGAUUUGAGAAGAGUUGCUCCUAGUACGAGAGGACCGGAGUGAACGAACCUCUGGUGUUCGGGUUGUGUCGCCAGACGCAUUGCCCGGUAGCUACGUUCGGACAGGAUAACCGCUGAAAGCAUCUAAGCGGGAAGCCCCCUUCAAGACGAGAUCUCCCUGAGGACUUGAUCCUCCUAAAGUGCCGUUGAAGACGACGACGUUGAUAGGCUGGGUGUGUAAGUACAGUGAUGUAUUGAGCUAACCAGUACUAAUUGCACGUGAGGCUUGACCAU
RNAcentral lists this ribosomal RNA (330 nucleotides) under Gammaproteobacteria bacterium. RNAcentral's name for it is "partial 23S ribosomal RNA". It matches the Rfam family "Bacterial large subunit ribosomal RNA", at positions 2601 to 2925 of the family's 2925-position model. The record is from RNAcentral. Lineage: Bacteria; Pseudomonadati; Pseudomonadota; Gammaproteobacteria.